RNAcentral lists this unclassified non-coding RNA (3668 nucleotides) under Leishmania donovani. RNAcentral's name for it is "gene:LdHU3.33.2880(CDS-product:nucleolar_GTP-bind ing_protein_putative)". Lineage: Eukaryota; Euglenozoa; Kinetoplastea; Trypanosomatida; Trypanosomatidae. The record is from RNAcentral.
AGCUCUGCGUGCCCGGCUUUCCACCGCGACGCACCACUCACCCUCUUUCCUCGAAUAACUGAGUAUAACCUCUUUUAUCCCGUUUCUUCGCCAGACCAUCAUGACGUCCGUGUACAACUUCAAGGCAAUCACCGUCGUCCCGACGUACAAGGACUUCAUGGACAUUGUCCUGUCCAAGACGCAGCGCAAGACGCCGACGGUGGUGCACAAGGGCUACCACAUCUCCCGCAUUCGCCAGUUCUACAUGCGCAAGGUCAAGUUCACGCAGAAGACCAUCAAUGAGAAGCUCACCUACAUCCUUCAGGAGUUCCCGCGCAUGGAUGACAUUCACCCCUUCUACGGCGAUCUCAUGCACGUCCUAUACGACCGCGAUCACUACAAGGUGGCGCUGGGUCAGGUGGGCGCGGUUCGCCACAUGGUGGACAACAUUGGUCGCGAUUACGUGCGUCUGCUCAAGUACGGCGACUCUCUAUACCGCUGCAAGCAGCUGAAGCGCGCUGCCCUCGGCCGCAUGGCGACGGCGUGCAAGAAGCUCAAUAGCGCGCUCGCCUACUUGGAGAAGGUGCGUCAGCACAUGUCUCGCCUCCCCUCCAUCGACCCGAACGCGCGCACGCUGCUCGUGACGGGCUUCCCGAACGUGGGCAAGUCCAGCUUUAUGAACAAGGUCACGCGCGCUGAUGUGGAGGUGCAGCCGUAUGCCUUCACCACCAAGUCGCUCUUUGUCGGUCACACGGACUACAAGUACACUACGUGGCAGGUGAUUGACACCCCUGGCAUCCUAGACCACUCUCUGGAGGAGCGCAACGUCAUCGAGAUGCAGGCGAUCACCGCACUGGCUCACCUCCGUGCCUGCAUCCUCUUCUUCAUGGACCUGAGCGGCCAGUGCGGCUACUCCGUUGAGCAGCAGGUCUCUCUCUUUAAAUCUGUUGGCCCUCUGUUCACUGGGAAGCCGGUUGUCGUCGUCUUCAACAAGUGCGACGUGUGCACCAUCGACGAUGUCUCGCCGGCGGAACAGGAGCUUAUCAUGGACGCCAUUCAGGAGGCGGACGCAAAGUGGAUUACGACUAGCACACUCACGGACGUCGGCGUCGGCGACCUCAAGACCGUCGCCUGCGACAUGCUUCUCGCCCACCGCUCGGAGCAGAAAGAGGGCUCUGGCCGCUACCAGGCGAUUCAGAACCGCCUCUACUGUGCCACUCCAAAGCAGCGCGAUGAGCUGGAGCGCCCCGCCUUUGUGCCGGCGUCGGUGCUGCAGGAGCGCGCCACGGGCGAGCCGCCGAGGCAGCGCCGCAAGACAGAGCGCGACUACGAGUGGGAGAAUGGCGGUCCGGGCCAGUAUCAGAGGAACGAGCGCAAGACAUGGGAUCUGGAGAACCCGGAGUGGGUCGACGAUAUCAUUCCCGACAUCAUGGAUGGCCACAACAUCUACGACAAUAUUGACCCUGACAUCCACCAGCGCCUGCUAGAGCUAGAGGCGGAGGAGGAGGCGCGGCUGGAAGAUCUUGAGCUGGAGGCGUCCCGCAAGCACGAGCAGUACACACUGGACAGCGAUACCCUUGAGGCGGUGAAGUUCAUUAAGGACAAGAUAAAGGUGCUGAAGAUGGAGCGCGCCAUGAAGAAUCCUGCCAUCCGGCGUACGCACAGCCAGGCGAUGGCCAUCGACAAGUUCAACAAACGCACCGGCAGUCAGGACGCCAGGGCGAAGUCCAUCGCGGACGGCAGCGGCGAGGUGCCUACUCGCAAGCGUGGCCGUUCCAUGUCUGUCGCGCAGGAGGCACUGAUCCGCGACCGCUCCAGCUCUGCCCACGUUAGCACCAAGACGACUCGUAGCAUUAGCGGCACAUGUGCUAGUCGUGAACGCAGCAUGAGCGUCAACCGCGGCGACGGCUACCGUGAUGUGAACGAGAAGCUGCGCGCCGUGAAGCUGAGCAAAGUAAAGGCGCGUCCGCUGGCCCGCCAGGCACGGAAGGGCGAGGGCGACCACCACAUUCCGAACCUCCGCCCUAUGCAUUUGUUCACGGGUAAGGUGAAGAGCAACGGCGCUCGCGACCGGCGUUAAGCGUGCGGGGUGCGACUGCUGAGGUGAGAUAGAUGGCAACACAGGGAGGGGGAGGUGACGAGGAGGUGACGUGAUUAUCUCUGCAGCGAGCAUCAUGGAUGGCCACACCAUUAGUGCCGUGAUGCUUCUCCUUUCCUCGCACUGGCUGUACCUCAUUCACCGUUCUACUUAGUCUUUAUUGCACCGCUGCCCCACGCUUCCCCCUCGCUUACCGGUGCUAGCCUGACGAGCGGCCCUCAUCGACUUCGUUCCCUUUCGCCUCCUUUUUUUUCGGUUGUGCUUCUUUCGUUUCUUAUCUGCUGUUUGUACUGUUGCCCUUUCUCUUCUUCCCUCCUCACCGCUUCCCUGUGCCCCCAUUCUCUGGCGCACAACUCGUUCUCUCUAUUGCUCUCUCGUGGAUUUCGCUGCUGACAUGUACGCGCCACGCUCAUUUCGAUUCUCUUUGGCACCUGCUUGCCGCUUGAGAAGCGAGGAAGGAAGGAGAGCGGACGAAGGGGGGGGGCGGGAAGGGAACGCAACAUUGUGGGGAUUUGGGGAGGUGAAAGAAGGGGAGGGGGACGAUACUCCACUUCGUUGAGGGAGACGCGCAUUUGUACAUGUACGUGUGGCACUUGCGUUUUCUCUCCUUUUUUUUAUGCUUGUGUGUGUGCGUGUGUGUGGUGGUGGUGGUGGGGAUGUUGUUGUCCCUUCCCCUGUGCUUUCGUGGUGAAAGCGCUGUUGGCUCGCACCGAUGAAAGGCGACGGCCUCGCCGUCAGCGGCGCAUUAAAGGCGAAGAAAGGGCUGAUUUCUCUCUGCCCCACUCGAAUAACACCGACGUAACUUUUUUUUUAUACUUUGCCUUCCGUUUUCUUCGUGUUUCCGCGCGUAUGUGUUAGCGCAAUGUAUGCGCUCCCAUUGCUUCAUGCGUUCACGGCAAGGCAGAAGGGAGCCGAAUAAUGGCAUCAACAGCUCAGUACUAGCAGGCACAUACGCACUCACGCACCCACAGGUGGAAGCGGGGACGAUGCGGAAGCAUGAGGCUCGGAAGCCGCCUUUUCUUCUUGUUUCUUUCUUUUUGUUUGUUCAUUUUAAGUCAUGUAAUGCACACUCUCGAGGCGAUUUUCUGUGCGUAACCGUGGGCGUACGAACAACGCAAGGAAAGCUGUGUAAGCACUUUAAAUGCAAAAAAAAACAAUAAUGCAGCAACGGGACAUGGAGAGGAGCACGCACACACGCGGCCGGGCCGACAGCUGUUUCCCUACUAGCGUACAUGCUCAGGACCUAAAAUGUGUGCUGGUUGGCUGGACAGGUGUGCGUACGGCAACGCCGGCUCCUCACCCUCUCUCCCUCCCAAGUAAAACACUUCCCCUUGCAGCUUUGCUGAUGCUGGUAGAGAGGCACCUCUUGUCUGGGUAGAUGAACGAAGCGAGGCCGGUGGGCGCUGAGGGCAGGCAUGGGGGCGUUUCACCGCCCUUUAUCAUUUUUUUUCUCGUUCUGUCUAAACUCAACUUUGGUCGCGCAGGCGUCGGCCAGCUUACCGAUGUCACCCUCCCCCCUCUACCUAUCGCUCCCCUUCUCCUCCGACGCCCUUCUCCGUUUCUACACUCGCUGUUUUCCGUACGCGCUCAG